UCGAUGUUCUCCCCUGCACCCUCCCUAUCGUCACGUAUGGUGAAUCGUUACAAGAUGAGGGACGACAUCAAGAGCUUCAACCUCUCAGGAAUGGGCUGCAGUGCGACCCUCAUUGCCAUUGACGUUGUACAAAACUUGUUCAAGUCUCCCAAGAAUGCGAAUGCCAUCGUCGUAAACACGGAAUCGUUGGCUCCUCAUUGGUAUUGCGGCGUGUAAAAAUCCAUGAUGCUCACAAACUGUCUCUUCCGCUCGGGAGGGUGCGCGAUGCUGCUCACGAACAACCGAAGCCUAAAGAACCAAGCCAAGCUGAAAUUAAAUCAUUUGGUACGAAUGCACACCGGCUCGAACGACGAAGCAUAUAACUGUUGCAUACAGGUGGAAGAUGAGAGUGGAAAUCGAGGUUUCCGCCUUACCAAAUACCUAGUAAAAGCAGCAACUCUGGAUUUGAAGCUGGUUUGAAGUGCAACAAUAUUGUGUGGGAAGUGAUGAAGGACUUGGAUGAUGUCAAUGUGUGGAAAGACUGCAUAGAUAGUUACCCUAGGGAUCAAAACCAAGUCAAUCCGUUCAUUGAAAAGUAUGGCUGGAUCAAUGAUGAUUAUCUAAGCUUUGUUAGGUUUGACAUGUCCCUAUUCGCUAUUGAGUAAUGCUACACUUACAACAUUUUUCAUAUUACAUUUAUAUCAUUUAUCUAAUAGAAGUAGGACCCACCAACUCAUGUGGAUCUCAUCUCUUUUAGAAAAAUGGUAAAAUAUUUGGUAUGAAAAAUGCGGUAAGAAGAUGAAGCAUAGAAAAGCAUAGAAAAGCAGUAGGCCCAGACGAUAUACCAAUCGAAGUGUGGAAAGUUUUGGGAGAGACAGGUAUAACAUGGCUUACUAACCUUUUCAAUAGGAUUUUGAAAACGAAGAAGAUGCCGAAUGAGUGGCGAAUGAGCACUUUGGUGCCUAUCUACAAGAAUAAGGGCGAUGUACAAAAUUGCAUGAACUAUAGGGGUAUUAAGCUAAUGAGUCAUACAAUGAAGCUCUGGGAGAGGGUCAUUGAGCAUAGAUUGAGGCAAGAGACACGGGUUUCGGACAACCAAUUCGGGUUCAUGCCAGGGCGCUCAACCAUGGAGGCAAUCUAUCUCUUACGAAGAUUGAUGGAAAGAUAUAGAGAUGGGAAAAAGGAUUUACACAUGGUCUUUAUAGAUUUGGAAAAAACGUAUGAUAGGGUCCCAAGAGACAUUCUUUGGAGGAUUUUAGAGAAGAAAGGAGUACGAGUAGCAUAUAUCCAAGCUAUACAGGAUAUGUAUGAAGGAGCAAAGACUGCCGUAAGAACUCAUGAAGGACAAACCGAAAGCUUUCCCAUAACUGUAGGAUUACAUCAAGGCUCAUCCUUAAGUCCUUACCUUUUUGCGUUGGUAAUGGAUGAGUUAACAGGACAUAUUCAAGGUGAUAUUCCUUGGUGUAUGCUUUUCGCAGACGAUAUAGUGUUGAUAGAUGAAACUCAGGAAGGGGUAAAUGCAAAGCUUAACCUUUGGAGAGAAGUGUUGGAAUCUAAAGGUCUUCGCCUAAGCCGAUCAAAGACAGAAUAUAUGGAGUGCAAGUUCAGUGCAAAUGGAGGCCAAAACGAGUUAGGGGUGAGGAUCGGAGAUCAAGAAAUACCAAAGAGCGACCGUUUUCGUUACCUAGGAUCUAUCUUGCAAAAGAACGGAGAAUUAGAUGGAGAUCUCAACCAUAGAAUACAAGCUGGAUGGAUGAAGUGGAAGAGUGCAUCCGGCGUGUUGUGUGACCGCCGUAUGCCACUGAAGCUCAAGGGAAAAUUUUAUAGGACGGCAAUAAGGCCGGCGAUGCUGUAUGGCACAGAAUGUUGGGCGGUGAAGCAUCAAUACGUACACAAAAUGGGUGUAGCGGAGAUGAGGAUGCUUCAUUGGAUGUGUGGGCACACGAGAAAGGAUAAGAUUAGGAAUGAGGAUAUCCGGGGUAAAGUAGGAGUAGCCGAAAUUGAAGGAAAGAUGAGAGAAAAUCGGUUACGGUGGUUUGGACAUGUGCAAAGAAGGCCUACUGACGCUCCGAUUAGAAGAUGCGACUAUGGGACAGAGGUUCAGGGCCGAAGGGGCAGAGGAAGACCUAGGAAAACUUUGGAAGAGACCCUAAGAAAAGACUUAGAGUACUUGGAUCUAACGGAGGACAUGGCACAGGACAGAACACAAUGGCGUUCUAAGAUUCAUAUAGCCGAUCCCACUCAGUGACUUGGAUUUUCCAAGUCUCCAACCAAGAAGUUUUCCUCACUCGGGAAAUUAAGGGAACACUACCUCAACCUAUAUGCUCCACUCACAAAGCUUCAACAUACAAGCUUCAACAAAAGAAAAAUUCAAAGAACUUAGCGAAGAAGGCUUUGGUGUAUUUAACACAAUACGUUGAAAUGAAGGAAAGCUUAUUUAUUGAUAUCCCCGAUAAGUUACAAAUAUGUACAUAUACUUGAGUCAAAAUAAACAAAAAAGAGGGAGCCUUCACAAAGGUUGCUUAGGAGAAGUCUCAGCAGUCGGUAGAGCCCCAGAAAGAGAAGGCACCGGAGGAGGAUCAUUCGGAGCCUCAGUACUGGACAAAAACCCUAGAAGGAGGAGGCAUCAGAGGUUGAUCAUUUGGAGCUUCAUUACGCGGUACAGCCCCAGAAGACGAAGGCAAUAAAUGCCUUUGGAACAAACCCACAAAUCUUUGAUGAUCAAGUAAAACAUGACCAUCAGAUUCCUUCAUCUGGUCAAGCUUCCUCUUCAUGUUUGUAGCAUAGUCAUGUGCGAGCCGGUGCAACUGUUUAUUCUCAUGCUUGAGCCCUCUAAUCUCCUGUUUGAGACUCAUCACUUCAGCCGCCAAUGAUUCAACUUGGCGGGUUCGAGCAAAUAGGCGUUGGGCCAUAUUAGACACAGAACCUGCACACUGAACACUGAGAGCCAGAGAAUCCUUAACAGCCAACUCAUCAGACCGUUUGGAAAGUAGUCUGUUAUCUUUGGGAGUGAGAAGGUUCCUGGCCACUACCGCAGCGGUCAUAUCAUUCUUCAUCACGGUAUCCCCAACGGUAAGAGGACCAGUAGGGGAGACGAAGGAUGGGCGCCAUAUGUUGUCUGGAGAAGGCGGGGCUGCCUCUUCAACAAAGUUCAAGUCAAAACGACGGUCGGAGGGGCCAGACAUUUUCAAAGGUGUUGAAGAGAGAAGAGGUCGGACAAAUCAAGAUCUUAGAAGUGCAAGAAUGGAGCUUCUACUGGUGGAUAUUCAAGUGUGCUUUGGAACUUAAUGUCAGCCCCUAUAAAAAUCUGCACUCGACGAAGCUUCAGAAAUCGAAGAGGCGCCUGCUCAGAAAUCGAAGAGGCGUUUGCUUUCUCAAAAGCUGGGCUGCUCAGAGACCACGAGGGUCGAUCUCAAAAAUCGAAGAGGCGUUUGCUUUCUCAAAAGCUGGGCUGCUCAAAGACCACGAAGGCCGAUCUCAGAAAUCGAAGAGGCUUGCUUUCUCAAAAGCUGGGAUGCUCAGAGACCACGAGGGCCGAUCUCAGAAAUCGAAGAGGCACCUACUUUUCCAGCCUUGUCAGCACCUGUCACACGCACACUCAGCUUUGCGGAAAUUAUGGGCAUUCUAUCGAAGAUUUCUGACGAAGUAGAAAGCACAUGAAUCGUACUGUUCAAUCACCCACUUCCCACACGCAACAGUAGCUCAUGGGUACCACAGAUAACUUUGCAAAAGUUCUCUGACAAAGUUGAGACACGUGAAGCUUGCAGCUCCCACUACAUCGCUCUGACCAAGAAGGGUAAAAAAAUUGCAAAGAAACAACACUAACAAAGUUUAAACACAUAAAUUUUGAAGGUCUAGCUACCAUAUUAUUACCCACAAGGGUAAAGGAACAGUACCACUGCUGGAUAAUUGGAAAGUCCCGGUGUGUCAACCUCUGUGCUUCGUGGCAAGGUAGACUAGUAAACAUGCCCAACCUGUACUCACAUUCGAGAAAACACUCCCAACAAGAUUGCUUGCUCCAAAAUCGAAGAGGCACCGCCCUCCGAAUCUCGAGAGCCAGACUCCCAACAUGAUUACUUUCUCAAAAAUCGAAGAGAGGGUAAAGGAACAGUACCACUGCUGGAUAAUUGGAAAGUCCCUGUGUGUCAACCUUUGUGCUUCGUGGCAAGGUAGACUAGCAAACAUGCCCAACCUUUACUCACAUUCGAGAAAACACUCCCAACAAGAUUGCUUGCUCCAAAAUCGAAGAGGCACCGCCCUCCGAAUCUCGAGAGCCAGACUCUCAACAUGAUUACUUUCUUAAAAAUCGAAGAGAGGGUAAAGGAACAGUACCACUGCUGGAUAAUUGGAAAGUCCCUGUGUGUCAACCUCUGUGCUUCGUGGCAAGGUAGACUAGCAAACACGUCCAACCUUUACUCACAUUCGAGAAAACACUCCCAACAAGAUUGCUUGCUCCAAAAUCGAAGAGGCACCGCCCUCCGAAUCUCGAGAGCCAGACUCCCAACAUGAUUACUUUCUCAAAAAUCGAAGAGACACCGCUCUCCGAAUCUCGAGAGCCAGACCCCCAGCAGGAUUGCUUUCUCAAAAAUCGAAGAGGCAUCGUUCUCUGAAUCUCGAGAGCCAGAUCCCCGACAGGAUUGCUUGUUCGAAAAUGGAAGAGGCACCACUUUCCCAACUUCAAGAGCUGGAUCUCCUUGGAUAAAGCUUGUCUGUAAUCUUCACACGCAACAUCAGCUUUCCAGAUACCACAGACCACUUUUUCAAAGUGCUCUGACAGAGUUAAAACAUGUGAAGCUGGCAGCUCCCACUACCGUGCUAUAACCAAGCAGGGUAAAGGAAUAGCAUUAUUACUUGAUGUUAGGGAGACUCCUAUAUAUGUCGACCUCCAUCCCUAACGGACAGGCAGACCUGCAAAAAUGCUCAACCCUUUCUCUUAUCUGAGAGGGCACUCCCAACGAAGCCUUUCGAAAUAUUCAGCUUUCUUUCCCCCCGAUAAUACCUCUGUAAACAAGCUAUACUAGAGCAAGAAUAUCUCAUAUCAUCAGGGUUAAAAGCAAGAGUAUCCCAUAUCAUGCUUUUUCCCUGUCUUUUCCUUUGGCCUUGUUCUUACCUGCAAGACAAGGAGAAAGAGAGCAAUCAGUCAGCACUUGGAAUCAAGCUUCCAGCCAGGAACUGACUGCCUGGAACCCCUUACCUGAUUACUUACCUGGCAUUGCUCUCGAGUACUCAUCUUCAACAUCUUAUGCUUCCAGGGAAGAUACCGCAUCUGCCUGAGGAACAAAUAGGGCAAGUGAGAAGGAUACAAGGAAGCAUGUGGAGACAAGCGUAACAGCACACGUGCCGAUACAUCCACUACUCUGUCAAAAGCAAAAGUAUCCCAUAUCAGCAGGGUCGAACGUACUCUAGAUUUGAUGGACUUGUUUUGACCCUCAAAUUCUUCAGUCGGCCUUAUACUCUGGAGGAAACCAGAAAACCCUCCAGCCCAGUUCAAGAAUAAGCCUGUGGAAAGUUACUUCUUCAAAAGCAAAAGUAUCCCAUAUCAUCUCUCCUCAUUUUUCUUCUCUUUAUCCUUCAUGCUGCCUGCAAGAUAGGGAGAAUGUGAACAAUCAGCCGGAGCUCUGAUUGCUUACCUUGUCUGUCACCUCUUUCAGCAGAUCCCCUAGCUCGGCGACUUGGGGGACUCCUACUACAUGGUUUGUAUCGCGCUUGACCAAGCAUGAAACUACAAGUAAGCUUCAAGUGAAAUUGAUACAUUACCUUGUGCAUCUCCACCAGUUACAGAUACCACCCCUGGAUGGAGGAAGAGUACUUCCAGAGAAGAUGCCACAUCUACCUAUGAGACAGAUAAGGCAAGUCAAGACGAUACCACACUCCGGUACUUAGAAGUUUCGUGGCUACGAGAUCAUUCUCCCCACAAUAUUUCCUAAUGUCAUUUGUACUAAAUCAUUCACUUGUACUCACUAAAGGAGAGCUUGAACCUAUGUACUUGUGUAAACCCUUCACAAUUAAUGAGAACUCCUCUAUUCCGUGGACGUAGCCAAUCUGGGUGAACCACGUACAUCUUGUGUUUGCUUUUGUGUAAACCCUUCACAAUUAAUGAGAACUCCUCUAUUCCGUGGACGUAGCCAAUCUGGGUGAACCACGUACAUCUUGUGUUUGCUUUCCUAUCUCUAUCCAUUUAUAUACUUAUCCACACUAAUGACCGGAGCAAUCUAGCGAAGAUUACAAAAAGUGACCGUUUUCGCUACCUAGGAUCUAUCUUGCAAGAGAACGGAGAAUUAGAUGGAGAUCUCAACCAUAGAAUACAAGCUGGAUGGAUGAAGUGUAAGAGUGCAUCCGGCGUGUUGUGUGACCGUCGUAGGCCACUGAAGCUCAAGGGAAAAUUUUAUAGGACGGCAAUAAGGCCAGCGAUGUUGUAUGGCACAGAAUGUUGGGCAGUGAAGCAUCAACGUACACAAAAUGGGUGUAGCGGAGAUGAGGAUGCUUCGUGGGAUGUAUGGGCACACGAGAAAGGAUAAGAUUGGGAAUGAGGUUAUCCGAGGUAAAGUAGGAGUAGCCAAAAUUGAAGGAAAUAUGAGAGAAAAUCGGUUCCGGUGGUUUGGACAUGUGCAAAGAAGGCCUACUGACGCUCCGGUUCGAAAAUGUGACUACGGGACAGAGGUUCAGGGCCGAAGGGGUAGAGGAAGACCUAGGAAAACUUUGGAAGAGACCCUAAAAAAAGACUUGAGUACUUGGAUCUAACGGAGGACAUGACACAAAACCGAGCGCAAUGGCGUUCUAGGAUUCAUAUAGCCGACCCCACUUAGUGGGAAAAGGCUUUGUUGUUGUUGUUGUUGUUGUAAUAAGUUUGCGUUUUUCUUUUACCUUGUGGAGAAGUGUGGUUGUUUGAAGUUUGUAUGAAGUUUUUCAAGCCCUGUAGUCUGGAUGUAUCUCAGAAAUAAACCCUAAUCGAUCAGGUGUUCCAGGUUUUUUUUUAUAAAAAUAAGAGUUCAUUAAUUUUCUAGAUGUGAGGCCAUGAUCUAUAUCAGUAUUUCCUUUGCUAGCAAACUCUCUUUUUGAUAUAUUUGUAUUCCCUUUGCUAGUACUGCAUUUACCACAAGUAGUGCAUUACUCUCAUGGUUAGAGAAAACCGUCACUGGAAACACCACUUCAUGUCCGACUUGCAUGUGUUAAGCAUGCCACCAGCGUUCAUUGACGUGGCGGUAUACACCUAGCUCCACAGGAAAGCAAGUCAUUAACUACUGGUUUCUUUCCUCCAGAAUAUCACUUGUAAUAAAAAUAAGAAAACACUACAUAUUUCAACCUCAGCAGCAGCACACCUCGUAUUUCCUUCACUUUAACAAGUGAUAUUUGGCUUGUAUGACCUGUGGAGAUUACCCUAAAUUUUCAAGGACAAGACAACUGUUUAGUUCUAGGGCAUCAAGGGUAACAGCUAAAGAAAAUACAAGCUGAACUUUUACAAUUUAAAUACUGAGAUUUAGGUGCACUAACAGAGAUGCGCCCUUCAAAAAUAGGCGUAUAAGCGACGAGCACACAGUAUUAUUGAGUAAAAGUUGAAAGAAUAGUUUGCUUUGUGCUCAUGUAUGCUUUCGUAAGUUAGUCUCCCGCAGCCUACAAUAUUUUAUAUGAGCGAAGGUAGAUAGUUCUUUGCUCCUGUGGCGGGUGUAGGACAAAUAGUUUGGCUUCCACUUCUUUGCUAACUCCCAAUUUUUUUGCUCAAAUCCCAUAAAUACUUUGGUCUAUUCAGCUAUUCCGCACCAAAAUUCUUUGCCCGUCGAAAUAUCAGCUCCAGUUCAAAACUCUAAGCUUGCAAGUUCCUUUGUCAAUUCUUAUAUGAAAUCAGGCCUUGAUUGCGAACCUAAUACUAUGUUUGGAUGAGGGAAAUAAACUUGGAAUUUAGAUAAAAGUUAGAAUUUGUACAUUGAUAUGCACCAAUUCUCUUGUUUGAAUUCAUAAACAUAGAAAUUUAGAAUUUCCGCGUGAAAAAAAAACUUGGAAUUUGGGAUCUCCAAUUCCCAAGUUUAAAUUCCAUGUAAAUAGAUGUCAUUUCCCAAUUUCUAUGAUUGAGAACUUAAAAAUAACAAAUUCUGUAUUCAAUUUCAUUGUUCUUUUUAAGCUAACCAAACAAAAAAAUUCACAAAUUCUGAAAAAUAAAAUUCCAUCAAUUCAAUUUCCAUUAUUUUAAAAUUUCUUAGUAAUUUUAAAUUUCUUCGUCCAAACAUAGUGUAAGUAGAAAUUAGUUGACAAGAAUUAUGUUUAAGACUUAUAGCCCAUUUUAAAAUGCUUCCUCAUAAAGCACUUAUGGUAUGAAAUAUUUAAUAGAAAUGCACGUGCUUUUUUUAUUACAAAAACACUUUCAAAUGUUUUUGUCAAAUAUGGUCUGAAACAUUUUUAGUGAAAUAAAAACAUUUUUAAUUAUUUUAAAAUCAUUUCUAAACAUGUUAUAAAUAUGUGUGAAAUAUGAUACUACAUAUGUUAUCCAAAAAUUGAAAUUUUCAAUUGAUUGGAUUCCAAAGGAAGGAGAUUUCCUAGAGCUUGUAUAUGUGUUCGUUCUUUUUUCCAACGUAUAUGUGUUCGUUUCAAACUGGUAUUUGAUUUGAUAAUCGAUGUCUACUUAGAUUUCCAACCUAUGAGUAAAAAUGACUAUAAGGAAUUGUCCUGCUUAAGAAGAUGCAAUAUACCUAAGCUAUGAAUCAUCUUCAUCAUCGGUCAUUAUUUGCUCCUAUAAACAUGAACCCUGAAGUUAAAAAUCACAGCAAAACAUUCGCUUGUAGCUUAUGAUGCACAUCAAAUUUUUGGCUCAAGGCCGUAUGGUCGUGGGACGAAAAAGGUCCACUAUGAGCUUACAUACCUACCAACAAAUUUACUAUAAAAUCAUCUCAAAAAGCUGGUUGGUUUGACCAUUCAGUAUUAAGAAAUAUACAUGUCUUCCAUAAGAUUUAUAUUAUUGACACGAAAAUUACAUAAUUGUCAACGUCGUUUUGAUAAGUUUGUUUAAUACAAAUUUACAUGGCAAACAAAUAGCAACGUAACGUCAUUUUAUAUUGUGGUCUGACCAAGGUAUUUCCUUUUAGUAGAGAAAUGAUAAGCGGAUGAAAACAAAACAUCGUUUAGCUAUUUCCAUUUCCUUUUUCGUAUUUAGCAAAAAGCGGCAUGGUUCACUUGAUCAUAACAACAAUUUGUUUUUCAAAGAAAUUAAGAAUCAAGGAUUUCAAUGUCACCAAUUACAGAACGUGGACUAGAAUAUUAGAAGAGCAUUUAGUUUAUAAAAAAAAUAAGGACAUGUUGUAAAAUCGACGGUGUGUGCAGUGGAAUAAAUGAAAUAAGACUCAAAAUUUAUGAGGUUCCUCUACAGUCAGUGUGAUUGAAGUACGUCCUCGGGGCAUCAAUGGUGCUUUCAUUAUAAUUUGGAAUAUAGGAGUACAAAGAUAACUCUCUCUAUUAUCUCCUCUCCUCUUCCUCUCUUUUCUCUCUUCUCAGCCAUGUUGCUUCUAUCCUCAUUCGUAUCUCAUAUUAUCUCCUCUCCUCUUCCUCUCUUUUCUCUCUUCUCAGCCAUGUUGCUUCUAUCCUCAUUCGUAUCUCACCUCCUUCUUCACCUCUCAUUCAUUUUAUAAGCAAAGAGAACACUAUUCACUUUACAAAUUUUCCACAAAUGAAUAGUGAAAAUACUGUGCAUAAAUAGUAACAAACUAUUUAUGUGGGUCAUCCACAUAUUAUUCACAACAGGAUGCACAUAUAUUGGUUUUUUUUUUAUUAGUAUUCUAAGCUACACCUAGUAGUUGGAAAUAAGCUUUAAGAAAAGUCAUAGAAUACUUGAAGUUAACGGAAGUCUUGGCACAAAAUCAAGCACAAUAACGUCCUAUGAUUCAUACAACCGAUCUCACUUAGUGAGAUAAUAUUUUAUUGUUGUUGUAGUAUCCUAAGCUACAUGAGAGUUUCAACAUUAAUGGCAGUGCUAGUAAGUUGAGGAAUAUCCUAUCUGUCAAGGCAAUUUUCCUGUUGAGUUUUAAUAACCAAUUUUUCGUACAAGAGUUCAUAUAUUUCUUUUACCUCAAUCCAACCUAAUAAUACCAUCAAAUUCAUCAUACCAUUUUCGGAUGGGAAAUGUUUUUGGCUCUCCAAAAAUCUCAUUCUACACUCCUCAUAAGUGUAUUUUGCUUUCUAAAUAUAGAAAGUUUAGAGUCUAAUGAGUGAUCUCCAAUCCAACCCGAGAGAACAAACGACAUAGCUCCACGGUUAAAAUUGUAAGUCCCGAGCCAAGUUUUCAUGAAGAAGACAUUUCCCAUGCAUUGUUCAAUCCCUGAAUUUGUUAAAAAAAUGAUAAGAAAAAUACCUUAUUCAAUGAAAAAAAGACUAGCCCACGCAAUAUUUGAGUGGAGAAAGCUAACACACAACUUGUAUAUAAGAGAUUUUUCAGUACCGGAACAUGGUUCGGUAUAUUAAGUGUCAUAAUACAAGUGGUUGGAUAAUUGAAAAAAAAUUAAACACUUAUAUUAUAACAUUUAGUGUCCCGAGUCGUGUUCUGGUACACUGAAAAAUUUCUCCAUUCGUAUAAGGUGCUAAAUGUCAAGGCCUUCUUACCCUACUAAUUAUUAUUAGUGGUUGGCCUAACUACUACCUAACUAUACACCUUAAUGAGGCCUACUACAUGAUACACUAGCUCUAUCUUAAACAUCUAUUUAUAAGAGAAAUAGAUCGUUGAAAGCUGUAUACAUGCAACUGAUCAUUCGACACUUCCCAAUUCUAAACUCUCUCUCUCUCUCUCUCUCUCUCUCUCUCUCUCUCACACACACACAUGGGGAUCCUGAUGGCAACGUGUUUGCUGGCUCUUUUCUAUGGUUUCUCCUGCCUCUGUAAGUUACUUCUCAGAAGGAGAGACCAGGCAUGCUAUCUGCUGGCCUACGAGUGCCACAUGCCACCAGACGACCUGAAGCUCAGCACUGAUUCAUGCGUGAAAAUCGUCUUGCGGAACAGGAAUCUAGGACUGGAAGAAUUCAGGUUUCUCUUGAAAACUAUUACCCAUUCGGGCAUUGGCGAGGAAACUUACUGCGCAAGAAACAUCAUCCAAGGCCGAGAAGAAACUGCAACCCUAGAAGAUGAACUUGCGGAGAUGGAUGGCAUCAUCUUUGACGUGCUGGACAAGCUUUUCGCUCGGGCUACCUCAAUUUCUCCGUCGCAAAUCGACAUUCUUGUCGUCAAUGUGUCGAUGUUCUCCCCUGCACCCUCCCUAUCUUCACGUAUAGUGAAUCGUUACAAGAUGAGGGACGACAUCAAGAGCUUCAACCUCUCGGGAAUGGGCUGCAGUGCGACCCUCAUUGCCAUUGACGUUGUACAAAACUUGUUCAAGUCUCACAAGAAUGCGAAUGCCAUCGUUGUAAGCACGGAAUCGUUGGCUCCUCAUUGGUAUUGCGGCGUAGAA
Molecule: long non-coding RNA, 11398 nt
Filed under: Malus domestica (apple)
Lineage: Eukaryota; Viridiplantae; Streptophyta; Magnoliopsida; Rosales; Rosaceae
Description: long non-coding RNA (MDOM_LNC007023)
Source: RNAcentral